ACAGUCAAAACACAUUUCUCAAUCUCUCAUAUCAAACACUAUUCACAUCCAUUUCAAUCCCUAAAUAAAAAAAUCAAUCCAAUCAACACAAUACUACCAGAUACAACAAACACUAAGGAUCUGAAUCAAUUUAAGACCUGGGCGCGGAGCCAAGUGUUGGGAACGGAGAGAGGUCCGUGUUUCUUGAAGACUUCGUAGAGAGAGCUGGAGAUGACGUGAGCUUCUUGGAUCGAGACCUUUGGGUUUAUCUUCCUCACGUUUACAGCUCGCUCUCUCGACAUGUAUCUCACUAGCAGAGAGUUACAGCUCAUCUCGUUCUCGAGAACAGUUGCGGAGGCUCUACAGAGCUUCCUCAGUCCUCCUCCGCCGCCGGUGAACCACAUUCUCUCUUCUUCUUCCUCGCCGUCACGUUCUCUCGCUUUUCUCUCGAUUUCGUUCGGCCGGUACUGAGUUAGGUCUCUCUCUCUCUUGCGUUGCUUUGAUAAUUUUUAAAACAAAAAGCCCAAUAGGCUAGGUUUGGCCCAUUUUAAGUCCAACGCUCUGUUACAAAAUCACCUGUUAGCUUAUCCAUAAUUAUCAUUCUGUGUUCCGACAAAUUAUUCAGUGACAAUCAUUCAAACUAAUAAACUUUGAGAUUGAAACACAUUCAUUUCCUCGGACACAGAAACAAAUACCAAAUGAAAACAAACACGCGAUUGUCCACAGGGAUCUUGUGGCAGAUCCUUAUUUGCUUCUUCUCUUUGAGAAGGCUUUUUUGUUCUUCUCAGCAGCAGCAGCAGCAGCAGCAACUGGUGGUGUCUCUUGUUGAGGAUCAUCAUCAGAUAAAACUGUGUGAAAGAACUUUUUAGAGGAACCAACAUGGUUACAGAUUAACUUGAGCAUCUUCCUCCCUCUCAUCCAUUUCAACAUCAGCUUCAUAUGAGUCUUGCUGUUCAAUCCACUUACCCCAGCUUCCUAUUAUCAAAUUUAACACACAGUCAAAACACAUUUCUCAAUCUCUCAUAUCAAACACUAUUCACAUCCAUUUCAAUCCCUAAAUAAAAAAAUCAAUCCAAUCAACACAAUACUACCAGAUACAACAAACACUAAGGAUCUGAAUCAAUUUAAGACCUGGGCGCGGAGCCAAGUGUUGGGAACGGAGAGAGGUCCGUGUUUCUUGAAGACUUCGUAGAGAGAGCUGGAGAUGACGUGAGCUU
This 1196-nucleotide long non-coding RNA is filed under the name Brassica napus (rape). Its description in RNAcentral is "long non-coding RNA (BNAP_LNC006392)". Lineage: Eukaryota; Viridiplantae; Streptophyta; Magnoliopsida; Brassicales; Brassicaceae. The record is from RNAcentral.